AGGGCACCACCAGGAGUGGAGCCUGCGGCUUAAUUUGACUCAACACGGGAAAACUCACCCGGCCAGGACACCGUAAGGAUUGACAGACUGAGAGCUCUUUCUUGAUUCGGUGGGUGGUGGUGCAUGGCCGUUCUUAGUUGGUGGAGUGAUUUGUCUGGUUAAUUCCGAUAACGAACGAGACUCUAGCCUGCUAAAUAGAUGGGCGAUCCCGUUGUGGGUCGACCCGAUUUGCUUCUUAGAGGGACAAGUGGCGUUCCUAGCCACGCGAAAUUGAGCAGUAACAGGUCUGUGAUGCCCUUAGAUGUCCGGGGCCGCACGCGCGCUACAAUGAGGGACGCAGUGUGCCCGCAAAGCCUGACCCGAAAGGGUUGGGUAAUCAUUUCAAUUUCCCUCGUAAUAGGGAUUGAGCAUUGUAACUAUUGCUCAUGAACGAGGAAUUCCUAGGUAAGCGCGAGUCAUAAGCUUGCGUUGACUACGUCCCUGCCCUUUGUACACACCGCCCGUCGCUACUACCGAUUG
Molecule: ribosomal RNA, 519 nt
Filed under: uncultured eukaryote
Lineage: Eukaryota
Description: SSU rRNA
Rfam family: Eukaryotic small subunit ribosomal RNA
Source: RNAcentral